AUUGAACGCUGGCGGCAUGCCUUACACAUGCAAGUCGAACGGCAGCACGGGUGCUUGCACCUGGUGGCGAGUGGCGAACGGGUGAGUAAUACAUCGGAACGUACCUUAUCGUGGGGGAUAACGCAGCGAAAGCUGUGCUAAUACCGCAUACGCCCUGAGGGGGAAAGCGGGGGAUCGAAAGACCUCGCGCGAUUAGAGCGGCCGAUGCCUGAUUAGCUUGUUGGUGGGGUAAAAGCCCACCAAGGCGACGAUUAGUAGCUGGUCUGAGAGGACGAACAGCCACACGGGGACUGAGAAACGGCCCAGACUCCUGCGGGAGGCAGCAGUGGGGAAUUUUGGACAAUGGGGGCAACCCUGAUCCAGCAAUGCCGCGUGAGUGAAGAAGGCCUUCGGGUUGUAAAGCUCUUUUGUCAGGGAAGAAACACCGGCUCUAACACAGUCCGGGAAUGACGGUACCUGAAGAAUAAGCACCGGCUAACUACGUGCCAGCAGCCGCCGCCG
RNAcentral lists this ribosomal RNA (501 nucleotides) under uncultured bacterium. Its description in RNAcentral is "partial 16S ribosomal RNA". It matches the Rfam family "Bacterial small subunit ribosomal RNA", at positions 29 to 523 of the family's 1533-position model. The record is from RNAcentral.